AGAGUUUGAUCCUGGCUCAGGACGAACGCUGGCGGCGUGCUUAACACAUGCAAGUCGAGCGGAAAGGCCCUUUGGGGUACUCGAGCGGCGAACGGGUGAGUAACACGUGAGUAACCUGCCCUAGGCUCUGGGAUAACUGUCGGAAACGAUGGCUAAUACCGGAUAUUCAGGCGUGAUCGCAUGGUCGUGUUUGGAAAGUUUUUCGGCUUGGGAUGGGCUCGCGGCCUAUCAGCUUGUUGGUGGGGUGAUGGCCUACCAAGGCUUCGACGGGUAGCCGGCCUGAGAGGGCGACCGGCCACACUGGGACUGAGACACGGCCCAGACUCCUACGGGAGGCAGCAGUGGGGAAUAUUGCACAAUGGGCGGAAGCCUGAUGCAGCGACGCCGCGUGAGGGAAGACGGCCUUCGGGUUGUAAACCUCUUUCAGCAGGGACGAAGCGGAAGUGACGGUACCUGCAGAAGAAGCGCCGGCCAACUACGUGCCAGCAGCCGCGGUAAGACGUAGGGCGCGAGCGUUGUCCGGAUUUAUUGGGCGUAAAGAGCUCGUAGGCGGCUCGUUGCGUCAACCGUGAAAACCCGGGGCUUAACUUCGGGCUUGCGGUUGAUACGGGCGGGCUGGAGUUCGGUAGGGGAGACUGGAAUUCCUGGUGUAGCGGUGAAAUGCGCAGAUAUCAGGAGGAACACCGGUGGCGAAGGCGGGUCUCUGGGCCGAUACUGACGCUGAGGAGCGAAAGCGUGGGGAGCGAACAGGAUUAGAUACCCUAGUAGUCC
Molecule: ribosomal RNA, 771 nt
Filed under: uncultured bacterium
Lineage: Bacteria
Description: bacterial SSU rRNA
Rfam family: Bacterial small subunit ribosomal RNA
Source: RNAcentral